This 467-nucleotide ribosomal RNA is filed under the name uncultured bacterium. Its description in RNAcentral is "partial 16S ribosomal RNA". It matches the Rfam family "Bacterial small subunit ribosomal RNA", at positions 28 to 507 of the family's 1533-position model. The record is from RNAcentral.
GACGAACGCUGGCGGCGUGCUUAACACAUGCAAGUCGAACGGAAAGGCCUCUUUCGGGGGGUACUCGAGUGGCGAACGGGUGAGUAACACGUGAGUAACCUGCCCUUGACUUUGGGAUAACUUCAGGAAACUGGGGCUAAUACCGGAUAGGAGCUCCUGCUGCAUGGUGGGGGUUGGAAAGUCUCGGCGGUUGGGGAUGGACUCGCGGCUUAUCAGCUUGUUGGUGGGGUAGUGGCUUACCAAGGCUUUGACGGGUAGCCGGCCUGAGGGGGUGACCGGCCACAUUGGGACUGAGAUACGGCCCAGACUCCUACGGGAGGCAGCAGUGGGGAAUAUUGCACAAUGGGUGGAAGCCUGAUGCAGCAACGCCGUGUGCGGGAUGACGGCCUUCGGGUUGUAAACCGCUUUCGCUCAUGACGAAGCUUUGUGUGACGGUAGUGGGUAAAGAAGCACCGGCUAACUACGUG